This 214-nucleotide ribosomal RNA is filed under the name uncultured fungus. RNAcentral describes it as "partial small subunit ribosomal RNA". The stretch from base 91 to 214 matches the Rfam family "Eukaryotic small subunit ribosomal RNA", at positions 738 to 864 of the family's 1831-position model. Lineage: Eukaryota; Fungi. The record is from RNAcentral.
GACGAGGACACCUGGUUUGGCCUCUGGUCAAUACUAGGCUGUCCGAGUCUUUCUUUUGGGGAAGCUUUGUGCCCUUAACUGGGUGCAAAGGGGAACCAAGACGAUUACCUUGAGGAAAAUAGAGUGUUCAAAGCAGGCUUUUGCUUGAAUACGUUAGCAUGGAAUAAUAAGAUAGGACUUUGGUUCUAUUUUGUUGGUUUUCAGGACCAUUGUC